GGAGGGGUGGCGGAGCGGUUGAUCGCGCCGGUCUUGAAAACCGGCAGGGCCGAAAGGCCCUCGGGGGUUCUAAUCCCUCCCCCUCCG
RNAcentral lists this transfer RNA (87 nucleotides) under Planctomycetota bacterium. Its description in RNAcentral is "Planctomycetes bacterium (groundwater metagenome) tRNA-Ser". It matches the Rfam family "tRNA". Rfam says of the family: Transfer RNA (tRNA) molecules are approximately 80 nucleotides in length. Lineage: Bacteria; Pseudomonadati; Planctomycetota. The record is from RNAcentral.